AACGCACAUUGCGCCCCUUGGUAUUCCGGGGGGCAUGCCUGUUCGAGCGUCAUUUCAACCCUCAAGCGCAGCUUGGUAUUGAGCCCUUGUCAGUGAUGGCAGGCUCUAAAAUCAGUGGCGGCGCCGUUGGGUCCUGAACGUAGUAAUAUCUCUCGUUACAGGCCCCCAGCGUGCUUCUGCCAACACCUAAAUUUCUAGUGUUGACCUCGGAUCAGGUAGGGAUACCCGCUGAACUUAA
This 238-nucleotide unclassified non-coding RNA is filed under the name uncultured fungus. Its description in RNAcentral is "partial contains 5.8S ribosomal RNA, internal transcribed spacer 2, and large subunit ribosomal RNA". Lineage: Eukaryota; Fungi. The record is from RNAcentral.